Sus scrofa (pig) is the source of this 3769-nucleotide non-coding RNA. The record is from RefSeq and is a predicted model, not a curated record. Lineage: Eukaryota; Metazoa; Chordata; Mammalia; Artiodactyla; Suidae.
ACCUGCCCCGCCCCGCACGCCCUCCCCGCCCCAGCACUCUGCUGUCACCGAGAGCGACCACGCAGCCGGGAGGAGGGGACCCCGCUCGCUCGCUCGCCCUCCCACCCGCCUCUGCCUGCUGCUCCCCCAGGGCCAGAACACCACCCUGCAACAGCCCUCCUCCCUGACCCCUGCCCUCAGCCCCAGGGAGACCUGAGUGUGGGGAGCAGGGGCGGUAGUGCCACCCAGAGGGAUCAGACCCCGUUUAAGGCCCCCCCGACUGUGCUUCUCCUGUGGCCUAGAGCCUGACAAGGACCGUGAAGGCUGGAGGGUUUCAUGAGCAGUGUGGGCCCAGGACCCACUUGGUCCCUGGGGCACCCUCGCUCCUCGCCUCGCGGGUACUACGCCCCCCACCCCGGCAUCACCGCUGCUGCUGUCCUGUGACCCUGCCCGGAGCCACACACGGGGGCUGCGUUCCUGGCCCGCCCCCAGCCCCAGGCUGCUUUGGCCUCACCAGCUCUCUGAACCCGGGGACCUGUCCCCGCAGCUGGGCCCCCGUGCCUGUCCCUCUUCCUACAGCUUCACCAGGUACCAGGAGGGCCUUGCGGGUGUGGCAGGCGUGAGGGCACCUGCCUCCCCCAGCACACACACACUCACAUGCACACACCCAGGCACACACUCAGCCCCAGGGGACUUGUCACCACUGAGGCAGCCUCACCGUGGGCAGAGGAAGUUGGUUCCCAGAUGGAGGCAAAACUCUCCCCCAAGAGAAGCCCCACAAACGUCAGCCCCCGGGUGCUGCCUUGAGGUGGUCUUGGCAAUGAGCGGGCAAGGGGGGCGUCAGUGACCCCUCAGGCAGACCUCAAAUCCAGGGGUCCCCCACCCGGCCCAGGGCUCAUCUGAGAACAGGGACACCAUCCUGGAAGCCGAGGGCAUCCCCGGGCCUUUCUCGGCCACCCUCGGGCUCUGUGGGACCUGCUGCUGUCUGUCCCGGGCCCAGGCACCCCUGCGCGGUUUGCACUGAACCCCUGGGGCCCCCCACUAACCACUCACCCCUCCACCCCAUGGGCUCGGAAUGGGCCGGGCGGUACGGGCCCGCAGUUGCGCCUCUCCGUCCUUCGAAGGCUUUCUCCUCGGAAAGCAGGGCCGGGAGAAAGCUGGACCCACGACCACAGCCGCCACCACACCGGGCUCCGGGGACGUGAUCCUCGGGCUCAGCGUGAGGGUCCUGGGGGCAGAGGGGACCCGGCAGAAUGUGCUCUGCUCGCCGGCACAGCUCUUCUCUGCCUCGGGGGCCGCGAGCGCCGAGGUCACAGGCUGGACCGUGUCCACGGCUCACAUUGCGGGCGGCUGGGCUGUGCGUCCCCCAGGGGGACCCCUUCUCCGUGCCUGCGCGGGAAGGAGGAGGGUCGAUGGCUCCCAGCACCUGCAGGAAAGGCAUGGCCUCCAGACCCGCCUCCCCAGAGGCACUGGGAGCGGCUGGGCCAGACGCACAGGCGGGGACCCCGUCUCCAUCGUCUCCUGGAGCGGGGAGCAGAACCCUCUCUUUACGGAGUAGGGAGCUAGACCCUCUGGGGCUUUCUCCUGUUAGCCCUCAGGGUGGGCAGCGGGGGUCAGGAGGCCUCUGCAUAUCUUGGGGUGUUGAAAACUGUGAAACAUCAUCACACAAGGGUCUCUUGUUCUCUUUCCGCAUCAGACUCUCUGGGAGAUUGGUGAAAAUUAUUGUUGCCUUUUCUUUGGGACUCUUGUCCCCCCACUAGUGUGCGCUCCUAUUUUUACUUCACUCUUUCAAAGACUCUCGUGUAAUUACAUGCCUGCUUUUCAGCCGGCAGGCCAGAUAAUUGCUGACCCGUCUUUUAGAGCUCAGCCCUAUCAGAGGGCAUUCUUUCGUGGCUUGUUCUCACUUUCCAGAAGGAUGCUAGGUGACCUAGAGUAAAAGAGGUGAAAGCCCAGAUGCUGUGUAACCCAAAGCCCACGUAUCCCAAAUCCCAGAGAAGGAGAGGCGGAGAAAGAAGGAGGAGCUUAUAUCAGAAAACAGCAGAGAACACUGCAUGGAAAGACCUGGAAGCUGUAAGCCUCCUGGUGGCCAGGACGCAGAGGCAGUGUGACCGGUUGCGAGGGUCUCACUGUCAAAUGGAAAGGUAUUAGCAGAUCAGGGGAGGCGGAGAUGAGCCUGGUUCCUGUUUUGGGAAGGAUCUGUCACAAGGGCCGGCACCAUAUGUGCCAAAGCUUGUUAAGGUGUCCUUGUAACGAGGCUGCCCCAGAGCCUGACACUUGGUAGGUAUUCACACCUCUCUGUAGAGUAAAUAUGGAGAGAGCCACCUGCUAAAAGCUUUCCUGCGGGUGAGACAGCGCUGAUCCUGACACCUGCCAUCUGAGCUGGUCACUGACAGACCCAUGGGGUAGCCCCUGAAAGGAGCCCCCUUUUGAAAAACCCGGGUGCUAUUUAAAAACAGGCUGAGCUGUCCUACUAGAUGGCAAAGGCUGUCAGAUUAUUUUUAAAAAGGACACUGUGUUUAUCAUCGUAAGAUAUACUCAAAGAUUAGUAGAAGUCGAAGGAUAGGAAAGACACCAAAGUCACCAGCAGAAGAAAAGUGCAAGUGGCAACAUUAGUAGCAGAUAGAGUAGAAGCUAAAGUGCAUUAGUAGAAUCACCCUGGUUCAUGAUGACACAAGCUACAAAGCACUUACAGCAUUCGUAAGUUUAAAUGUACCAAGCAGCGUGGCAACGCCAGCGACUUUGAUAAAAUGCCAAUGUGGUAUAUUUGCAUGUGACUCUUGAAAUCACACACGGCUCUAGUGGAGGAAAAAAAAAUAUAGGAGUUCCCGUUGUGGCACAGCAGAAACGAAUCCGACUGGGAACCAUGAGGUUUCCGGUUCAGUCCUUGGCUGUGCUCCGUGGGUAAGGAUCUGGCGUUGCCGUGAACUGUGGAGUAGGUCGCAGAUGCUGCUUGGAUCAAAUGUGACUGUGGCUGUGGUGCAGGCCAGCAGCUGUAGCUCUGAUUAGACCCCUAACUGGGAGUUCCUAGGAACUUCCAUAUGCCACAGGUACGGCUCUAAAAAAGACCCAAAAAAAAAAGUAUAGAGAGCAAUUUAAUAGCGCAGGCAGCCAGCUGAAUCUCAUAGGUGUAUGAAAAAAUUUGUGUCUUUUAAAUCAGGUUUUCACAUGUCCUUAAAACACUAAUGAAAACGUUCAUGUCUGUCACUGCGGAGAAAACCUUAACAAAUUUUAAAGAUCUGACAUUCCAGCCCUGAGUUCAAAUCCCAGCCCUGCCACUUACUGAGUGUGUGUUGUUUGCUUGGGCAAGCUUUCCUGAGUUCCCUGGGUUUCUAUUUGCUCGUCUUUAAAAGCAGUUAUCCUGACCAACACUGUGAUGGUUGUGAGAUCUCGUGAGCUCUGCAGUGUUCUUCCCAAAUGAACAGUUAUAAAAACAAGCCUCUGCCUGUUCUUACUCCCACAUCCGUAGCUACUGAGAGAAACGGCACACUGCAGCGGGAGCUUUAGGGAGAAAAGAUCAAUAGCCAGUGGUGAUUUUUUUUUUGAAACAUAAAACAUGUGGGUUAAAAGUUUUACGGUUCCAUAUGUUAGCUGUGUGAUCUUGGGCACGUUGCUUCACCUCUCUGAGCCUCAGCCAUAAAAUUGUGAUAAUAACGUUAGCCCAUCUCCUGAGGUUGCGGCGAAGAUUAGUGAAUGUGCCUGCAGAGCAGUGACACAUAACACCAAGCAAACGGGACCGAUGAAUAACGCGGGUUUUUUAAUUCUCUGGUCUCUGCUGAGAGCUGUGGGGGGA